RNAcentral lists this signal recognition particle RNA (298 nucleotides) under Amphiprion percula (orange clownfish). Its description in RNAcentral is "Metazoan signal recognition particle RNA (ENSAPEG00000024679.1)". It matches the Rfam family "Metazoan signal recognition particle RNA". Rfam says of the family: The signal recognition particle (SRP) is a universally conserved ribonucleoprotein. It is involved in the co-translational targeting of proteins to membranes. The eukaryotic SRP consists of a 300-nucleotide 7S RNA and six proteins: SRPs 72, 68, 54, 19, 14, and 9. Lineage: Eukaryota; Metazoa; Chordata; Actinopteri; Pomacentridae. The record is from RNAcentral.
GCCGGGUGCGGUGGCGCGCGCCUGUAAUCCAAGCUACCGGGAGGCUGAGGCUGGAGGAUCGUUUGAGCUCAGGAGCUCUGAGCUGCAGCGGACUAUGCCGAUCGGGUGUCCGCGCUAAGUUCGGUAUCGAUAUGGUGCUCCUGGGGGAGCCCGGGACCACCAGGUCGUCUAAGGAGGGGUGCACCGGCCCAGGUCGGAGACGGAGCAGGUCAAAGCCCCCGUGCCGCUCAGUAGUGGGAUCGCGCCUGUGAAUAGACGCUGUAGUGCAGCCUGAGUAAUACAGCGGGACCCAGUCUUU